Molecule: ribosomal RNA, 253 nt
Filed under: uncultured bacterium
Lineage: Bacteria
Description: partial 16S ribosomal RNA
Rfam family: Bacterial small subunit ribosomal RNA
Source: RNAcentral
UACGUAGGGUGCGAGCGUUGUCCGGAAUUAUUGGGCGUAAAGAGCUUGUAGGCGGUUUGUCGCGUCUGCCGUGAAAAUUCGAGGCUCAACCUCGAACUUGCGGUGGGUACGGGCAGACUAGAGUGUGGUAGGGGAGACUGGAAUUCCUGGUGUAGCGGUGAAAUGCGCAGAUAUCAGGAAGAACACCCGUGGCGAAAGCGGCUCUCUGGAACGGUACUGACGCUGAGGAGCGAAAGCGUGGGGAGCGAACAGG